This 1542-nucleotide long non-coding RNA is filed under the name Mus pahari (shrew mouse). RNAcentral's name for it is "predicted gene 43447 (MGP_PahariEiJ_G0005852.1)". The record is from RNAcentral. Lineage: Eukaryota; Metazoa; Chordata; Mammalia; Rodentia; Muridae.
CACACACACACACACACGACCUGGAUAUUUAGGAAAAGAAGUAAGGAAAGAAUGGGAAAGCCACAUUAGCAGCAGCCCCUGCACUGUGGGAAUCUUUUCUAAUACCAUUGUUAUGAAUCAUAAUUAAUUGUGAUUAGUAACAACAGUAGGGACACAUGCUUAAUCUUCCAAUGGGGAAAGCAGACGUAAGGCACCACAGACACUCUGUGGGCCUAAGUCCACAAAGGCAGAAAACAGCUCAGAAAGGAGACAUCACUUUUUUUUUUUUUUUUUUUUUGAGGCAAAAUAAUGAACCCAAUCAAUUGCAGAAAUGGUAGCAUGGUAAGUUAUUUUGCGUGCUUUUUCAUUUGUCCUUGUGAUGGGCAGGAAGCCUUCUGACCCGUGACUCUGGAGGGUUGACUCUGGACAGCUUUCUCCCCUAGGGGUGACACUGAGCUGCCUGACACUACUUUAGUGAGCACAGCACAGCAUCAUCAUGGUUGUCCCCUCCAUGGCCUACAGAAACACUUCACUUUGUUCCUGGAGGUCCCUCGGGCUUGCUAGCUGCAGUGUGGUGAGCAGCCCUGGAAGGGAGCCCAGGAGGCAAGAACCCACAGUAGAGACAGUGGGAAACUGAAGCCCCAGUUUAUGGCCUACGACGAGCCAAGUCCUAUCAAUAAUGGGGUGUGGAAUAAGGGGUCACUGUCUGCACCCUACCCUGGUCUCCACUGCAGAUGAGACUGCAGCCACAUACAAGCGCUUGGAUGGUCUUCUACACUGUUAAAUCUUGGGAUGUUUUAUUGCUCAGGAGUGGAACACACCACUUCUGUCACAGUAUUGUUAAUCCAGAAGGAACCUAAAGUACUACCUAGAUAGGGAAAGGUGAGGCACUGUCACUUCAGUCGCACAUGAAGUUGUGUCAUUCAAAACCCACCUUAAUGUCUCAUGUGAUCUUAAAAGUUUCCCAGUGCAAUUCUCCACAUAGCUACCCCAUCCCCCAUCCCCAAUUAAUUGGCUGGAAGUUAAAAAGAAGCCCAACUGCUCCCCAGAACACUGUGAGAGAAGGAGACAGGAGUAAGACGACCUAACCUCUACCUCAUUGGCCAACAUUCUGGGAAAGUCAUUCGGGCUUGGCCAACUUCACUUUCCCCUUUGCUAAAGCCAAGAUAAUCUGUGUGAACAUGCAAACUAAAGCAGCCUAAAGGGUGUUGAUGGGGUCUCUUGAUAUCUUUUCAAAUAUUUGAAAAAGCACAAUCAAUAACAUAGCAAAAGAUUGUAUUCAAAGAUAAUAUGAAAGCACAGGACAGAUACAAGGGAGCAGUUGGCUACCUUCACUAGAGCAGUCACCUGCACUAGGAACUGCCAGGGCUUCCUUCUGUAAAUCAAUGAGAAGGAGGUGGUGGCUAGAUUAUAGAGUGUGGGUGGUUUUCUGUUUUGAUUGACAGGCUUAGGUCAUAAAAGCCUGAGUUUAUUCUAUGUGUCCUUCCCCUUGAUCUGGUGUUAAUCAAAUGCCCUCCCAAUCAUGCCUAGGACUAAGAUUGCAAAUAGAGGAUUUCUACCUGA